This 468-nucleotide ribosomal RNA is filed under the name uncultured bacterium. RNAcentral's name for it is "partial 16S ribosomal RNA". It matches the Rfam family "Bacterial small subunit ribosomal RNA", at positions 28 to 507 of the family's 1533-position model. The record is from RNAcentral.
GACGAACGCUGGCGGCGUGCUUAACACAUGCAAGUCGAACGGAAAGGCCCUGCUUUUGUGGGGUGCUCGAGUGGCGAACGGGUGAGUAACACGUGAGUAACCUGCCCUUGACUUUGGGAUAACUUCAGGAAACUGGGGCUAAUACCGGAUAGGAGCUCCUGCUGCAUGGUGGGGGUUGGAAAGUUUCGGCGGUUGGGAAUGGACUCGCGGCUUAUCAGCUUGUUGGUGGGGUAGUGGCUUACCAAGGCUUUGACGGGUAGCCGGCCUGAGAGGGUGACCGGCCACAUUGGGACUGAGAUACGGCCCAGACUCCUACGGGAGGCAGCAGUGGGGAAUAUUGCACAAUGGGCGGAAGCCUGAUGCAGCAACGCCGCGUGCGGGAUGACGGCCUUCGGGUUGUAAACUGCUUUCGCCUGUGACGAAGCGUGAGUGACGGUAAUGGGUAAAGAAGCACCGGCUAACUACGUG